GGCAUCUCUGGCUGGAGAUCCCUGCCUAUCUGAGGCCUUCCAAAGGCUUCCCUGAACGAAACGUAAGAUUUUAAAGCUGAGUUGACACCUACUGGUUAAUUUCUGGCCUACUGCAUGGGAAACUACCUUUCUGACAACUCUAUUUGCCUAAGGCUAGGCUGACUUGUGACUAGGCCAACAAGGUUCAGAAGACUUUCUGGGUUUUUUUUUUUUUUAGAAUAAACAUCUGAGAGUAUAAGCAAACAUAUUUACUCCUUAAAGCACAAGUUAUUUCCAUUCCAAGCUAGACAAGCAGACAGAAACCCACCACCAUGUUAAUCAGCUUCUCUGAUGCUAUUAAACUUCAUCAUAGUCCUAUUUUUGAGCUUUUUCAUGCUGUGCACAGUCCAUGCAGCAUAGAGCCAAAAUCAAGGAUGUUUUUCUUUUAUGCAGCAAGUAACAACAUACUACAAGUUCACACACAAGGACACGCAAGGCUAUGGUAACCCCCUGCCGGCAUUAACAAGCUGAGGCUGCUACGUCUGUACAAGGUUCAAACGAUUUUACGCUGCUAUUGAACACCACCUUUGCUCCCAUGGCUGCUACGUUCAACUGUCGGUGUGAUUAGCAAAGCAAACAGCGUGCUGUGCUCAUCAGGCUACGGGCAGAUCUCAAGCCUCGCGUUAAGGAAGCCUUUCAAAAGAGAUAAAGAAACAUUUCGCACUCUAAACUAGGUCUAAGCAAGCCUGUAACUUCAGACAGCGUGUUUCUUUAACGUUUUGUAACCGUCUCCGCGGCAGCGAAAACAGGAUCUACCAUCGGUGCCAUAGUUAUUUGGAAAAUGCUCUUUGUUUCCUUCCGUGAUGAGCUCAUGCGGAAGCCCCUACGUUUCAAAUCUGCAAUCUAGCUUUGUUCAGCCUUGGAAAUUACUCAGCGUGCUCUCCGGCUUUGAAAUUUCCCUGUGAAAGAACGAGCAGGGAAAACAGAAAUCUCAGAAAGGACCUUUCACGCUUCUUAUUCCUCUGCCAGGCUUGACUAACUUUCCAUGUACGUUACCAGCGAUCACGAAAACUGCCAUUUAAAGAUGGCAAGUAUCCCAGUCUUCUUCAUCAUUGGCUUUACUCCAGGGAGUUUAUGCAGACUUUAAAUCACAGAUGCAAAAAACGAAGCGAAAGGACUCUCCCCAUCUCCAAGGCAAACCCUGCCGAGAAGGCAGUGCCGGGUUUCCCGUCCCCCCGGGAGCACGGGUGGCCGAGCGCCCCACACCCGGCUCGGCCCGCUCCCGGACAGCCGGGCCGGGGCGCGGGACGGUCCGCUCCCGCAGCGCGGCGGCGCCUGCCUUAAGCGCGCAGGGUGUGCGGAAAGGAGGGCACGGGGAAAGGAAGAGCGGGAGGUAUAACGCACCCAAGCGCGCCGCGAAGGUCUCGUCUACAGCAGCGUGGCCAGCUCCGGCAUGGGAACGGGCGGGGCUUCGAGCAGGGCGGCGAGGGACGCCCUUCUGUGUUUCAGAGCACGGCUUAAAUGCUUUUCCCUCAUGCUUCCCAAGGCUACGGGAGACCUCAGCCGCCCCCGCGCGUGGAUAGCAGCAGUCGCUGUGCAAGGUCGAGAUCCCUCUCGCUGAGGGUCGAGGGCAGUGCUUUUGGUUGCCUUACUCUCCGUUAUUCUCUGCCGCGCCAAGUACGUCAGCCCUUACGGUUUAUCGUGACUUUGGCCAUCGGGUAUUUUGGAGCGAGGCAAGGCAAGGACUGCGCUGCUGGCUCGGUCACACCCUUCACCAGAAGGAACCGAGCUGCGCAAUUCCGCACACCCCGUCCGUCAAGAUGGCGGCGCUGUAGGAAAGGACGCUGCCGUGUGAAAGGGCGCGGCGCCUCCCGCCGGCCGCUGCGCGCGGAUGGCUGCCGGCGCCUCACGCUGCGUGUGCGCCGUGUCUGACGCGGAUAUUCCGGCCGUGAAGAUUUACCUUCGCGGCUCUUCGUCCGUGAGGCUGGCAGGUAGGACUCCACUCUCAGGAAAGCUUAGUAUUAGGAUAAAGACUUGUAUUUCGUAUCUAUUAUAGGAGUUGUCUGUGUACAAUAUUUUUAUAUUCCACAAUGUUGACAAAAUACAUUCAUGGUAAGUUAAGGCAGCAGCUAAGGGCUGAGGCUGAAGUGCUGCCUAGCUGUUAUAUCACUGAAUGAUCCCACGGUGAGUCAUAAAUUCAGGAAGUUUACUGAUGCUAGUGCAGCAUGACAGCUGAUACGCCUAACAUACUUAUGUAAAAUCAUGGUCCUCUAUUGAUAAACUCUCGAUAAACCAAAUGAUCCCUUAAAAAAAGGUAUAGAGGAACACGUUAGUUUGUAUCUUUGUAUUCUACAAUCUUUUUGCCCAAUUAAGCUAAGCAGCACACUGAUGUUACGCGUUCUGAAAACGUGCUUACCAUAACUUCUAAACCUGCAUCCAUCUGCUAGUGAUAGGAAAAGAAGAAUGUAUCUCUUCAGCUGCUGAAAAUCAGAGAGUAGAAUCAGUUGAGUUGGAAGGGACCUUCAAAGGUUAACUCGUUUGUAAUAGUGAAGCAGCAGGACUAAUGUUUGAAAAGACUCAUCCCACACAACUUGCAGCAGCCUCUCUUCAGACUCUGAAGCAUUCAGUACAGAACAGAGACCGAUAAAAAGUGAACCUAUAGAACAGUAUGAAAACAAGCUUUACCAACAAGAAACUAAAACCGAGAGCGACUAUUGCUUAGUUUCCCAAAGCAUUAUGCAAUGUGUGGCUGGGAGGCAGUGGAAAGCUGUGUCAGCACACACAGCAUGAGAACAGCUGAAAUGAGAAAUGUGCAUCUUAAGCUAAGAUUCACCGAUAGCACAUGUAAUGCUGGCUCUUAAUAGUUAACUGAAUUUUAGGUUGUUGAUCAGAAGAAAUCUUACACCGUUUAGUCUUAGGCCCACAUAGAGGGGGAGAAAAGUGAGUAUUAGCUUUUGCAAAUGUGUAUGCUUUCUGGGGGUACCUAAGGGACAGCAUGGAAAUACUUGGUGCAGUGGACUUCACACAGUAUGUUCUUCAUUUGCUCGAUGACAGACUGAUUGAUCUGCGUAGAGAUGUUUGAAGAAGACUUUAGGCAAAAAAUAAUUUGUGCACUAUGAACAGAGCUUUGAGCAAUGUCAUGCAGAGAUGCAAAGCUCCACUGAACACUACAGCUGCCCUCUCACAUCAACCGAUGCUUACUGGCUCUAAAAAUAAAGCCCUAUUGUAAUUCCAUUUAAAAAUGUUAUGUAAAUAUAUAUAUAUAAGGUACUUUUAAGCCUUUAAGAUAGGAGCUUCAAUUUUAUUUUAAUAAACCUGCGAUAUGUGACAUAGCUA
Molecule: long non-coding RNA, 3315 nt
Organism: Gallus gallus (chicken)
Lineage: Eukaryota; Metazoa; Chordata; Aves; Galliformes; Phasianidae
Exons: 2
Source: RefSeq, a predicted model, not a curated record